This 251-nucleotide ribosomal RNA is filed under the name uncultured prokaryote. Its description in RNAcentral is "partial 16S rRNA". It matches the Rfam family "Bacterial small subunit ribosomal RNA", at positions 525 to 775 of the family's 1533-position model. The record is from RNAcentral.
ACGGAGGGUGCAAGCGUUGUUCGGAAUUACUGGGCGUAAAGGGCGCGUAGGCGGUUUGAUAAGUCAGAUGUGAAAGCCCACGGCUUAACUGUGGAAGUGCAUUUGAAACUGUCAGACUUGAGUACCAGAGGGGAAAGUGGAAUUCCCGGUGUAGAGGUGGAAUGCUUAGAUAUCGGGAGGAAUACCGAUGGCGAAGGCAACUUUCUGGCUGGAUACUGACGCUGGGGCGCGAAAGCGUGGGGAGGGAACAG